Long non-coding RNA from Aethalodelphis obliquidens (Pacific white-sided dolphin), 3616 nucleotides. RefSeq lists it as uncharacterized. The record is from RefSeq and is a predicted model, not a curated record. The transcript has 3 exons. NCBI's taxonomy places the organism in Eukaryota, Metazoa, Chordata, Mammalia, Artiodactyla, Delphinidae.
CUAAUCCAAAUAUGACUGGAAGACGAUGUGAAGACAGACACACAGGGAGAACACCAUGUGAAGGCACAGGACACACAGACACACAGAGGGAAGACAGCCACGUGAAGAUGGAGGCAGAGUGAAGCUACCGUGAGCCAAGGAACGCUUGGGGCUAUGAGAAUCUGGGAGAAGCAAGGGGAGAUCCACCCCUAGAGACUUCAGAGAGAACAGGCCCAUGCUGACAACUUGAUUCCAGACUUCUAGCCUCCAGAACUGUGAGAAAAGGACGUUCUGUUGUUUUAAGCCACCCAGUUUGGGUACUUCGUUGCAGCAGCCCUAGGAAACUGAUAAGCAUGGAUCCCAUUUAGGACAUCACAUUACAUUUCAUCAUUAUGUCUCCUUAAGUUCCUCCUGAUUAUGAUGAUUUCUCAGACUUUCCUUGUUUUUGAUGACCUUGACAGUUUCGAGGAGUACUGUUAGCAGUUUCCUCCCCAGUUGUUAGUAGGGGAGAAAUCGGUCACCGAGGCCUCAGCUGGAUCCCUGAAAAAAGCCCUUGCAGUAUUCCACAUUGCAAAAGCCCAGGACAUUGCUGGGAAGAUCUGAGGCUCUGAGUCCCCGCGGCUGGUGGAGGUGACUCAUCUUCCUGACCCCAGCAGAGGAGAGCGGCGUGUUUGGUGCGUACUGUGCGCCUGUCAGCACUCAGCAUCCUGUUGGCCAGGAAAACGCUGCCCCUUCCCGGGAAAGCCUUUGUCUGCAGUUGGAACACAAGCACCCGUGGACAGAGGCCACGGAGUCAUGGAAGAAAACCAGGUUGAAUCCAGGGGCUCCGUGUUUGUAGUGGGAAGAGAGAUGCCCCCAUUUUCCCACCGAAUCCUGUCACCAAAACAAGUAGGCAACUUGGCCUACUUUUGUUCUUGAGGGUUUCCCGGCCCAUUAUUACAACAAAAAGUGGUAGCAGACAUGGUGGAUACCAAGGAAGGCAUAAAGCAAGAAUGGUUUGGAAGAGGUCCAGUGAGUGGUUUCUAUCGCCCCCUCCCCAUCUGGAGGAGCUCGUUCAUCAGAGUCCUCCCCAACCCCGCCGCGACUCCUCUCUUCCCCUGGCCUCAGCCAUGGAUCACUUAUUUACUUAGCUAGUAAUUUACCCCUUCCCUUGCUCCAUAAAAAAGUUGAGACAGCUUAGAAAAAUACACAGAAUAAAGGAUGGACUAAAUGACCACGAUAAGUAAGGAAGAAGACAAGGAAAACAGCUGAUAGAGCAGCAAUACGAUGAGCACACGGGAAUGUCUGUCAGACGAUGCUGUUCAGUUACUACAAGUGGGCUGCAAAUUUGGGCCUAAGAGUGCUAGAAGCCAAAGAAAAGAGCCAGAAUAAUCAGGCAGAAGGUGCAUAUCGGCAAGUCAGAAAAAGAUCUGCCUUUUUAAUGUAGAGACCAGGGAGAGGUGAGGAAUCACAGUUCACAGUUUGCAUGUGGGCCAGGGACUGAGUUAAAGGCUCUUCUGACAUUUUCUCAUUUGAUCCUGGCAAUCAUGUCAGGUGGAUACUAUUAUGACACUCAUUUUACAGAUAAGGAAACUGAGAAUUUGAGAGUAAGUUAGUAGUUUGCCCAAGACCAGAGAGUUAGUCAGUUGUAGAAAUGAGAUUCAAACCUAGGCUAUCAGGCUCCAUGUCUGGGUGCCAAGCUAGGAGGCUAACCUUGCAGGGCAGUGGGGGGCCCUCAGGGCUAUUUCUGCAACAGAUGCAACAGGGAUUUCUGUAGGACUGUGUCUCCUCACUUCUUUCAAUACAAUUCCUAAAUAUAGGCACAGAAGCAUAAAUGUAGUUAAAAUUCUGCGAAAGCACUUCCUUCAACUAAAACAGCUUGUCCAGGUGCUUAGUUCUUUGAAGAUCUAAUUUUCUUCUCUGUAUAGAUGUAUAAACAUUGCAGAUUCUAUCAGGAAGUAGAUCAACAGGUAUUUUCUCAAACCACAGUCAUUUUAAUGCAUCCCAAACCCACUCUAGUACGUUUUAUUUAUUCCUCAGAAGGAACUAGAAGCUGAUGUCUUUAGUCUCUCUACUCCCACGCCUACCCCUACAUGGGAAAUACUCUUAUAGCCUCCAGGACAAUGGAACUCACAACGAAGACCUCUAUUAACCAAUGUCUUGAGGACAACUUCACCUGACGUGUUGUUCUUUUCUUCCAACCUAUUCUUUGUGAAAUGCUUUGGGAAUUGGGUAUUCCCUCUACUUAAGACCAUGUACCAUUCAGCAGCAUUUCUCAAACUUUCAGCUUCCAUAAACCCCUUUACGCUCAUGCAGACCACCAAUUUUAGGUAAAAAUUCAUCACAAUUUUUAGUAAUAAAAACAUCAUACUCUAAAAAAAACCUUUUUAUUAUGAAGAAAUUCAAACACCUAUGAAAGUAGAAUAGUGUAAUGAACCUCUGUGUACCCAUCACUCAGCUUCAACAGUUACUGGCCAAUCUUGUUUCAGCACUACUCACACCAACUUCCUCUUUCCCAUAUUAUCCUGAAGCAAAUCCCAGAUAACACAUCAUUCCAUCCAUAAAUAUUUCCGUAUGUGUUUCUAAAAGAUAUGAACCCUUUCUUUUAACAUGACAAGACCAUUAUCACAACUAAAAGUAUUCAUAAGAGUUCCUAAAAAUCAUCAAAUAUCAAAUUUCCAAUUGUUUCAAAAAUGUUUUAAUUUCUUUUUGUUUGAAUCAGGAUCCAAAUAAGGCUUGCACAUUCCUACCAGAUAGAACAUUAUUUUAAAUAUCACUAAUCAUUUCAUGCAUUUGCAAGAGGACAUCAUUUUCAGUCUCUUCCCAAGGUAUCUGUCCUCUUUGUUCUGGUUUCUUUACUCUGUACUCCAGCAGUUUCUUUCCUUACCUUUUGUUUUUGCUAAGUUAAGCAUUCCCAACUCACAGUUAUAGGUUGCUGGAAACAGUACCAAGUAUCUGGUAUUGCAUUAUGAUGGCCAUGGAUUCAGAAGUGAGACAUUUCUCAUUGAAAAUACUUUUAGCCCAAUUACAAAACACAUUCAAAAUCCAGAUGGAUGCAUGCUUUAACUUGGGAGAUGGGGACAAAAUGGGUCCUUCUCAUCCACACAGACUGCCCUCAGCUCUCGAAAGCAUUUGUCCAACAUUACAGGUAGUUAGUUCUAAACUGUUCCCAAUAGUAGAUUGCUUUCUUCCUAUUAAAGACAAGUAUCAGAUAUUGGGAAAGAGCCAAACUCCACUCAGAGCAGAUUGGACCUCAGUUUGGUCUUAAGAAAACAAUCUGGUUUUUCAAAUAUUUUCCCUUCUAAAGGACCAAGUUCAUCCUUUGGAUACUACAGGUCAGUGCCAGAAAUGACAAGGUAUCUCAGACAAAUAACCAGUGGAUGUGCCGUGAUGGGCAAAGUCAAGUUCAUCCAAAGUUGUGGAAAGGCCCUCUGACAGCAGAGGGGAAAGCAGAGGGGUGGGGGUCAGACUGUUGGAAAGAGCACCUAAAAGGACACUGAAAACAUCCAGACAGGAAGUGAGGUCAGGCGGGAACAGAGCUGAAAGAAGAGGAAGUAUCAGUGUGAGAAAAAGGGGGCUUGGGUCGGAUUGAACAUGAGGGAUGAAUAUGGAGCAGGGAGGAAUCUUCAGUGACAUUUGUGUUUCUGACUCCAGUGCU